Long non-coding RNA from Felis catus (domestic cat), 307 nucleotides. RefSeq lists it as uncharacterized. The transcript has 2 exons. The record is from RefSeq and is a predicted model, not a curated record. Lineage: Eukaryota; Metazoa; Chordata; Mammalia; Carnivora; Felidae.
CAGCAGGCAUCCAGUACACAGUUGCAUAGUGGACUUCUGGAAGAAAAGAAAAGGCGAUAAUAACAGGAUGCCAUUUAACUGAUUUGCCGAUACACUUUUUCCCAGGUUUGCAAAUGCUGGUUGCAACGAUUCGCCACUACCUCAUGUGCUGGGAUUGUCACUGCAUUUGCAAGGCUAACUGACACAUUUCGGAGCAAGCCUUGAAUCAAGAGACUUUCACAAUUUCCCCCUGGAAGACUGUAACGUGAUACCUGCUGUUUGCGCGGAUGAGUUUCACGUUUUAGAUUAAAGUUUCCUCAUAAUUUCA